Molecule: small nuclear RNA, 146 nt
Filed under: Mus spretus (western wild mouse)
Lineage: Eukaryota; Metazoa; Chordata; Mammalia; Rodentia; Muridae
Description: snRNA (ENSMSPG00010047326.1)
Rfam family: U2 spliceosomal RNA
About the family: U2 is a small nuclear RNA (snRNA) component of the spliceosome (involved in pre-mRNA splicing).
Source: RNAcentral
AUCGCUUCUCGGCCUUUUGGCUAAGAUCAAGUGUAGUAUCUGUUCUUAUCAGUUUAAAAAAGUGGUAGAGCCUGUUUGUAGCACAGACAGGCCCUGGGCACAUUGUACUGGUAGUUUACAUUGUUCUGUAUAUUUGUGUGCUUAAA